GCGCGAGUGGCGGAAUUGGCAGACGCGCAGGAUUUAGGUUCCUGUGCCGCAAGGCGUGAGGGUUCAAGUCCCUUCUCGCGCACCA
This 85-nucleotide transfer RNA is filed under the name Propionibacteriaceae bacterium. Its description in RNAcentral is "tRNA-Leu". It matches the Rfam family "tRNA". Rfam says of the family: Transfer RNA (tRNA) molecules are approximately 80 nucleotides in length. Lineage: Bacteria; Bacillati; Actinomycetota; Actinomycetes; Propionibacteriales; Propionibacteriaceae. The record is from RNAcentral.